GGGGAAUUGUUCGCAAUGGGCGCAAGCCUGACGACGCAACGCCGCGUGGAGGAUGACGAUUUUCGGAUCGUAAACUCCUGUCGAAUGGGACGAACAGAUUGCGGGUGAACAGCCCGUAGUCCUGACGGUACCGUUAAAGGAAACCCCGGCUAACUCCGUGCCAGCAGCCGCGGUAAUACGGGGGGGGUAAGCGUUGUUCGGAAUGACUGGGCGUAAAGGGCGCGUAGGCGGCACGGACAGUCAGGCGUGAAAUUCCUGGGCUUAACCUGGGGGCUGCGUUUGAUACGUCCGAGCUAGAGGAUGGAAGAGGCUCGUGGAAUUCCCAGUGUAGAGGUGAAAUUCGUAGAUAUUGGGAAGAACACCGGUGGCGAAGGCGGCGAGCUGGUCCAUUACUGACGCUGAGGCGCGAAAGCGUGGGGAGCAAA
This 425-nucleotide ribosomal RNA is filed under the name uncultured bacterium. RNAcentral describes it as "bacterial SSU rRNA". It matches the Rfam family "Bacterial small subunit ribosomal RNA", at positions 356 to 772 of the family's 1533-position model. The record is from RNAcentral.